GGAUGAAGUUCAGCGGUAGAGUGUUGCCUAGCAUGCACAAGGUCCUGGGUUUGAUCCCCAGCACCA
Molecule: transfer RNA, 66 nt
Filed under: Marmota monax (woodchuck)
Lineage: Eukaryota; Metazoa; Chordata; Mammalia; Rodentia; Sciuridae
Description: tRNA.Ala
Source: RNAcentral